AUGAACUUCUCACUCCACUUGCAAACAAUUUUCACCUUUGUUAAGACAAAACAAAACAACUUCAAAGGAAAAAAACCCAUACACAUAUACAAGAAUUGUACUAGACAUUGUCUCGUUAUGUACUUGAACUCAACGACUGUGGAUCUGUUUUGGCUGAAAGGUGUACUGGAAACAGUCCAUGCACAUAUACAUAUAUAGAUGUAAAAAUGAGGCAAGUGCCUAAUACCAUGCCAUCUCGCAAAGUGUUGAAGCAAAAAAUGUGAACAGAAUGGUAGCUUUUCCACGAAAUACUCCAUCUCAGAUAUUUUAAAAAUUAAAUGAAAGUUACUUAAUAAUAUACAUGGAUAUGCUAUCAAAAAAGCAAUAAACCUAGUUGAUAAACUACUGUUAACUAAUGGCUGGGCUUCUGUAUGACAUGGAAGGAUAGUUGUAAAGCAGACACUCCUAGACUAAAACUAGGGGAAUCAUCAAUUGUCUGGAGAUGAAAGGGAGAUGGUCAGGUCAGUACAGUCAAGUUUGAGGACUGACAGUCUGGCUGUAAGACUGACUAUUGCUCUUGAUAUGAGUAGCUUCAUGUAAAAAGGAAAAAAAAAAAUACAUUCUAGUUAAGUCAGCUGCUGGACUGAUCCUUUCAAAGGAACAACAUUAAAAACAAAACAAAACCCCUUACCCCAGUAGUUGGAAGGAAAGAGAAACAAAGCUGUGGAGAAUCUAAUAUUGAGCAAGAAGUACUGAAGUUGUAAGAUUCCAUUUUAAUCUCCCCUUUAUCCCUUUCAGUGCAGGUACAGUUCCCACUAAACUGAAAGGCUUUUACACACAUAAGUUGGGGGCAGAGACCUCUUGCUCUUGCGGUUAAGUUGGAAAGAAUACUCUAACAAUUCCUCCCUCUUCCCCACAGUGAAGUAUAACACACACAAUUAUUUGGGUGAAUGAGGACUGUUACUAUGAUGCCUACAAUGGCCAUGACUUCAACAAGCUCCCCACAAUCGGGGCAGCAACGAUGAUGACCAUGUGAGGCUUUCUGAUCUAAGUUGAAUGGAAAGCUAGGAAAAUAGCAGAUACCCGGAUAAAAAUAUCUUUUUCAGGUCAUGCUUUUUCUUAAAAUGGAUGUUGGCUGGUGGUUAAUGGGUCGUCUAAUGUUAAAGAGAGACAGGUUUUCUAAAUGCAGCAAUGAUAUUUUGAAAUCAGUGUUUCCAACAAGGAUGAACACUGCUCAAAGACCCUGCCUGCCUUCCUAAGAACUAGCGUUCCAGUAGGUUUGUAACUGUCAUGAGGGCAUAGUAAGUAGCAGAUCAAAGUGGGAAGAGACUUCACUUUGCAGUGAUCCGCUUCUCCGUAAUCACAAGAAAGAGAAAGUGCAUGCCACCUCGCCAACCCUCCCCCACCCCACUUGUACAACCCUUUGCUACAUCCCCCUCCCCAGAUUCAAGAAGUUCACAAUUCUUUACGAAACAAACAUUGCCAGGUACCGUAUCUUAAGUCUUGAAACAACAUUGUUGAACUCAGCGAUACUUUGUCAUAUUCAUAUAUCUUUUUUUUUUUUUAUUGAAUAAAGCAGCUUUGAAGCUUAUCAGGCACUGCCCAACAAAACAUUUAGUCCAAAAAAAAUCUGUUAUGAACUUUUUAACCUUGGGCUAACAGCCAAGUACUCUGUACAAGAAAGACUGUAAAAUAUUUCAUAGUUUUAAUUCUGAAGCCAUUUUUUUUUAAACUGGCAUCCUGUACAUUUCUUUAAAAAAAAAAAAAGGAAAUGAG
RNAcentral lists this long non-coding RNA (1755 nucleotides) under Capra hircus (goat). RNAcentral describes it as "lncRNA (ENSCHIG00010014487.1)". The record is from RNAcentral. Lineage: Eukaryota; Metazoa; Chordata; Mammalia; Artiodactyla; Bovidae.